GGGUUCCGGAGCCGCGACCUGGCCCGUCAGCCUGCGAGCCGCCCGGGCUCUGCACUCGACCCCGCGCCCCGUGCCCCGUGCCCCGCGUCCCCGAUCCUCAUCCCGCGCCCCGGAUCGGCGUCCCUGAUCCGUACCCUGAGCCCGUUAUCCACAUCCCUGAUCCGCACCCCAGUGCCUGUACCGCACCGGUCGGAUAGUGGGCACGGAAGGGAGGCGGCGGCGCGGCUGACACCUGGGCUGCGGGAGCCAGUGCGCUGCCAGUGCGCUGCCGCCUCUGCCACCUCCCGGUCCCGCCUGGGCCAGCCAGCUGAAAACCCGAGCUGCUUGUCAAGUGGUUUGGCUCCGGGCGUUGUUCCUGGCGUGAGUUCAGCUCCGGGACCGGUGCGUUUCGGCGCUCGGGUUUUUCAUUCGAAACUUUCUGCUCGGGUCGAGCGUUACUUGCGUGCUGCGGCUGCGCCCAGGUCGCUUGCUGCAGUGGGCUGUGGGUGUGUGCGCGGGCGGGUCCCGCGUGGUGCUCCGGACUGGAUCCACAGACUAUGAUAUUUCAAAUGUGCCAGCGCCAGCCACCUCCAGCCUGGACCUGCAGCCCAGUUGGGCAGCUGCUGUCGGAGAAGCCUUUCCCCGAGAGCUGGGUUUUCCUAGGCGUCAGAGCGCCGCCGCGUGUUCCUCUUUCCUCUCUCUCUGGGUUUGCUGGACCAGCUAUCAACAUCUUUGCUCACAUUGUUUGCUUCGCUGUUCCUUUUGCGCAAGAAAUUUGUGUGGUGUCUUUGGUACUAUAGAGAAAGACAGAAUUCGCCUUUAAUAAAAUUACGAAAUAUU
RNAcentral lists this long non-coding RNA (819 nucleotides) under Mus spretus (western wild mouse). Its description in RNAcentral is "predicted gene 43566 (ENSMSPG00010030914.1)". The record is from RNAcentral. Lineage: Eukaryota; Metazoa; Chordata; Mammalia; Rodentia; Muridae.